Rhea pennata is the source of this 3261-nucleotide RNA transcript. It is a transcript of the gene named suppressor of cytokine signaling 4, with no coding region annotated. Lineage: Eukaryota; Metazoa; Chordata; Aves; Rheiformes; Rheidae. The record is from RefSeq and is a predicted model, not a curated record. The transcript has 3 exons.
GGCCGCCAGAGGCAGGAUGGCGGCGGCGCCAGGCGGCGGUGCGGCGCGGCGGCUGCGCGCCCGCAGGUACUUCUGGAAAGAGCCUCAAAAAAGCUUCCAUCUGUAGAAAGCCCUACAAGAAAAACACAGAGCACUUUUUGGAAAUUUGUGAAGCCGAACGAUCAAAAUGGCAGAAAAUAAGGACAGUAAUAUUAAAAAUGCAGAUGUGAGACCCAAAAACAGCCGGAGCAGAAGUGCAGACAGAAAGGAUGGUUAUGUCUGGAGUGGAAAGAAGCUCUCCUGGUCAAAAAAGAGUGAGCACUGUUCUGAUGCUGAGGCAGCAAGCGCUGUAGGAAGAUCAGGGACUGGUUUAAAGAGUCAAGAGAGGAAGUACAGCUGCUCAUCUAUCGAACUGGAUCUCGAUCGUUCAUGUGGUCACAGGUUUUUAGGCCGUUCUCUCAAACAGAAGUUGCAAGAUGCUGUGGGCCAGUGCUUUCCUAUAAAGAACUGUAGCAGUCGACAUGCCUCAGGGCUUCCAUCGAAAAGGAAAAUUCAUAUCAGUGAAUUAAUGUUAGAUAAGUGUCCUUUCCCUCCACGCUCGGAGCUAGCUUUUCGGUGGCACUUAAUUAAAAGACAUACAGCCCCUAUAAAUCAAAGAGCAGAAGAGUGGAUAAUUGCUGAUUUAUCCCAGAAUGAGGAAAAGGAGGAUCAGCUGAGGGAUGAUGAGAUUGCCAGUGGAGGAACAGACUCUCUCUCCCAGUCCUGUGACCUGACUGACAGCAGUUCCUCCAGGGGGGAUUCCAGGUCUGAGUUGGUUACAAGUAAAGGAGGACGGAGCAGUAAAGAUGAGAGUGAUAUGGACUCUGACGAUGAAGUUAUAACACUAUGCACAAGUUCUAGAAAAAGAAACAAACCCAAAUGGGAAACUGAUGAUGAGCUGCUACGGAUGGAAACGCCUCCUAAAUACCAUACGCAGAUUGAUUAUGUCCACUGCCUAGUCCCGGACCUCCUUCAGAUCAAUAACAACCCCUGCUACUGGGGAGUCAUGGAUAAAUAUGCAGCUGAGGCACUGCUAGAAGGCAAGCCAGAGGGAACAUUUUUAUUGCGAGAUUCUGCCCAAGAAGACUAUUUGUUUUCUGUGAGCUUCAGGCGCUACAGUCGUUCUCUCCAUGCACGGAUAGAGCAAUGGAACCAUAACUUCAGCUUUGAUGCCCAUGAUCCUUGUGUCUUCCAUUCUCCCGACAUCACAGGACUCUUGGAGCACUAUAAAGAUCCAAGCUCCUGUAUGUUCUUUGAACCGCUUUUAUCCACUCCCUUAAACAGGACUUUUCCUUUUUCUCUUCAACAUAUAUGCAGAACAGUUAUUUGCAACUGUACAACUUAUGAUGGUAUUGAUGCACUUCCUAUUCCUCCAUCAGUGAAGCUGUAUCUGAAGGAGUAUCAUUAUAAAUCGAAAGUUAGAGUACUCAGGAUUGAUGUACCAGAGCAGCAAAGCUAGAAAAUAUUUUUACGAAAGAAUGAAAUUGACCCUAAGCAGAGGAGCAGUAUGUUCAGUCUUUCUUCCCUUUUUUUUUUUUUAAUGGCAGUUUGAUUUUUUUCUUCUCCUGCAGAUUAUUUACAACUCAGACUAGCCUCUGCCUAUGGCUUUUUUAUCUAAAUGUACUUUGAGUCUUUCCAACUCUCUUUUUAAGAAAUGAUAUUCAUUGUGGGCUUUUGGUACUGUUCCCAGACUAGGGUUUUACGGAAUUUCAGGGAGAUUUGGAUCCUUUUGAAAUGCCUUUGAAACUGAGACUGCCAAUCUUGCAGUUACAGAUAAAUUUAGCUUUAUGCAUGCAAGAAGAUCUUAUCAGAACUAGCAAUUACCUGUGUGCGUAAGGUUACAUACGUGUGCGCAGGCUGAGAGCCGGGGAGCCCAGCACAAUGAAGUCUUGCUCCUGGAGUGAAGACUAAGUGCUACAAUAGUACAAGCAAUAGUUCUUUCUGAAUAUUUUAUUCUCAACUUCUGGAGAAUCCAGUGGGUUUGUGAACAGCAAAUCCAUCCUGCAAGUUGGGUUUUUGUGAGUUACUGAGCAAGUUUUGCCAUGCAGCUCCACAGGGGAUGAGCUGUCUUGCCCUUGCCCACCUUUUUUUGUUCUCUUCAGCUCUCUGGCUCCUGAGCAGAGAACUGAUGUCACCGAUGUAAACAGAUUUUCAGGGACAUCUGCUUAGAGACCAGCCAGUUUGUUUUCACUGUGUUUUAAAUAGGUUUGAACCGAAGUCUCUAGGGAGAAAAUGCUAACACAUCAAUCUGUCACGUUGCAUGUGGAUGAAUACACUAUAGGACAAACUCUCAGCUGCAAUAAAUCAGCAUAGCUUUAUUGAUAUGCUUAUAACAGUUUAUCCCAGCUGAGAUUCUCCCUCCUUCACAUACAAAUGAUAAUUGUAUGGCUCAAGUUAGAGACAGUGUUCUUUUUUGUUUGUUUUUUGUUUUCCUUGUGGUGCUUCCAUUUAACUGACUUCUUGCAUAAAUUGGGUUUUGUCAAGAACAACUUCUUAUUAGUAAAUCCAUUUCUUCUCUAGCUACUGCUGCCAUUUUCCAAACACAAAGUGAAUGAAUAGCAGGUAUGAUCCUUACUGUAUAUUUCAUGCUGGGCCUGUCAUAGUGGAAUGGCAGCAUGUGGCUUUUGCUGUCACAAUACAAAAUAAUUGUAACUGGUUAAAAUCUGACUUUACAGAUGAAUUUUUCAGACAUUUGCAGUCUAGUUGAUUAAAACUCUUAAACCCUUAAUUAGGACAAGAAGCUCGUAAAUUUACAUAGGGCUUACCGUUGCUAUUUUUGUCCCAAGACUACAAAAACUAGAUUUCAGCCCAAAAAAGUCUUACCUAUUUAGAAACUUGCAGUGAAAGCCACCAUGCUUUCAAACCGAGCAAACAUCUUGUUCCUUCAGAAUGAAAGGCCAUUGAAGAACCUUCUUUUUGGUGCAGUUCCACAACGUGCUGUGAUUUCAGUGUCAUUCUGUAUGCAGCCUACAUUGUUUUGACAUCUGUGGGUGCAGCACUUACCCAAAAAAUGUCUUGAGCACUCCAAUUUUAGGAGACCUACAUAAUAUAGCAGUUGGAGGAAGAAGGUGCUAUACCUCUAAAAAUAGUACCUUUUUGUCUGUGGGCCAAUUAAUGGCAUUUGUUCAGAAAAAUCAUAUAUAGAAAAAGUUGAUGAACAGGAUUUUAUGAAAGUUCACCCUGUUUUUUUGCCUAGUUUAUUUGUCCAGAUCAUACUUGUAUCAUUUUUUUUAUAUAGUUCUU